Molecule: ribosomal RNA, 301 nt
Filed under: uncultured bacterium
Lineage: Bacteria
Description: partial 16S ribosomal RNA
Rfam family: Bacterial small subunit ribosomal RNA
Source: RNAcentral
CAGCAGCCACGGUAAUACGUAGGGUGCAGGCGUUAAUCGGAAUUACUGGGCGUAAAGCGUGCGCAGGCGGUUAUAUAAGUCAGAUGUGAAAUCCCCGGGCUCAACCUGGGAACUGCAUUUGAGACUGUAUGGCUAGAGUGUGUCAGAGGGGGGUAGAAUUCCACGUGUAGCAGUGAAAUGCGUAGAGAUGUGGAGGAAUACCGAUGGCGAAGGCAGCCCCCUGGGCCAAUACUGACGCUCAUGCACGAAAGCGUGGGGAGCAAACAGGAUUAGAUACCCCUGUAGUCCCUGUCUCUUAUAC